UACGAAGGGGGCUAGCGUUGCUCGGAAUUACUGGGCGUAAAGCGUGCGCAGGCGGUUUUGUAAGUCUGUCGUGAAAUCCCCGGGCUCAACCUGGGAAUUGCGAUGGAGACUGCAAGGCUAGAAUCUGGCAGAGGGGGGUAGAAUUCCACGUGUGAGCAGUGAAAUGCGUAGAGAUGUGGAGGAACACCGAUGGCGAAGGCAGCCCCCUGGGUCAAGAUUGACGCUCAUGCACGAAAGCGUGGGGAGCAAACAGG
RNAcentral lists this ribosomal RNA (254 nucleotides) under uncultured bacterium. RNAcentral describes it as "partial 16S ribosomal RNA". It matches the Rfam family "Bacterial small subunit ribosomal RNA", at positions 524 to 776 of the family's 1533-position model. The record is from RNAcentral.